This 253-nucleotide ribosomal RNA is filed under the name uncultured bacterium. RNAcentral's name for it is "partial 16S ribosomal RNA". It matches the Rfam family "Bacterial small subunit ribosomal RNA", at positions 524 to 776 of the family's 1533-position model. The record is from RNAcentral.
GACAGAGGGUGCAAACGUUGUUCGGAAUCAUUGGGCGUAAAGCGCACGUAGGCGGUUCGUUAUGUCGGAUGUGAAAGCCCUUGGCUUAACCGAGGAAGUGCAUCCGAAACUGGCGAGCUAGAGUACGAAAGAGGAUCGCGGAAUUCCCGGUGUAGAGGUGAAAUUCGUAGAUAUCGGGAGGAACACCGGUGGCGAAGGCGGCGAUCUGGGUCGAUACUGACGCUGAGGUGCGAAAGCGUGGGGAGCAAACAGG